GCAGGAGGAGAAGGAGGAGGAGGAACUGAAUAUGCAAAAUGAAUCGAUUUCAUUUAUAGCACCACAAAAGGAACAAAGGAGUAAGGACCUGCAACAGUUUGUAAAAAAGAAAAAGCAAAAGAAGGUAAUCACAAAAUUCAGAAUUUCGAGAACUGUCCAUUUCGGCCAGCUUAGUGGAGCCCCCUGGAGAAUAAAGCGAGCUUUGUUUGGCCCACCCAAAAGAAAAUUAAGAACUUCCUCUUGGUUAUCUAUGAGAACAAGUUUUUGUGUUCUUGUCCCCUUAAUGAAAUGUUAUCUCAUAAAUUAUAAAUUUUAAAAGAUGAUGAUUUUGAAGAAAAAAAAAUUCCACUUUUUUUGAGGGAAUUAGAUAUCACACUACUAAUAUUUACUUUUCUAAUAAUUAGAAUGUGUUUGGUCAAGUU
RNAcentral lists this unclassified non-coding RNA (422 nucleotides) under Hevea brasiliensis (rubber tree). The record is from RNAcentral. Lineage: Eukaryota; Viridiplantae; Streptophyta; Magnoliopsida; Malpighiales; Euphorbiaceae.